Molecule: transfer RNA, 72 nt
Filed under: Sphaerodactylus townsendi
Lineage: Eukaryota; Metazoa; Chordata; Lepidosauria; Squamata; Sphaerodactylidae
Description: tRNA-Ala
Rfam family: tRNA (bases 8-64)
About the family: Transfer RNA (tRNA) molecules are approximately 80 nucleotides in length.
Source: RNAcentral
GGGCCCCUAGCUCAGUGUUGGAGCAUCUGCUUGGCAUACAGAAGGUCCUGAGUUUGAUCCUCGGCAUAUCCA